GCUGGGCACACUGGCGCAUGCCUGUAGUCCCAGCUACUCAGGAGGCUGAGGCUGGAGGAUCUCUUGAGCCAGGAGUUCUGGGCUGUAGUGUGCUAUGCUGAUCGGGUGUCCGCACUAAGUUUGGCAUCAAUAUGGUGACCUCCUGGGAGCGGAGGACCACCAGGUUGCCUAAGGAGAGGUGAACUGGCCCAGGUCGGAAAGAGAGCAGGUCAAAACUCCCUUGCUGAUCAGUAGUGGGAUCGUGCCUGUGAAUAGCCACUGCAUUCCAGCCUGGGCAACAUAGCAAGACCCCAUCUCU
RNAcentral lists this signal recognition particle RNA (298 nucleotides) under Saimiri boliviensis boliviensis (Bolivian squirrel monkey). Its description in RNAcentral is "Metazoan signal recognition particle RNA (ENSSBOG00000001355.1)". It matches the Rfam family "Metazoan signal recognition particle RNA". From Rfam's summary of the family: The signal recognition particle (SRP) is a universally conserved ribonucleoprotein. It is involved in the co-translational targeting of proteins to membranes. The eukaryotic SRP consists of a 300-nucleotide 7S RNA and six proteins: SRPs 72, 68, 54, 19, 14, and 9. The record is from RNAcentral. Lineage: Eukaryota; Metazoa; Chordata; Mammalia; Primates; Cebidae.